ACCCUAAUACUAAUCCUAACCUUAACUCUAACCCUAACCCCAACCAUAUCCCCAACCUUGACUCCAAUGCAAACCUCAACCCUAAUUCCAACCCAACUCUUAAUAUUCCUCCUUACAUCUAACCUUAACCCUAACCCGAUUAACCCCAUUCCACAAUCUCCUAACCAAAUAUCUGAACCCGUAAAUCAAUAAGCUGAAUCCAAAAUCCGUGG
Molecule: long non-coding RNA, 212 nt
Filed under: Elaeis guineensis (African oil palm)
Lineage: Eukaryota; Viridiplantae; Streptophyta; Magnoliopsida; Arecales; Arecaceae
Description: long non-coding RNA (EGUI_LNC002397)
Source: RNAcentral